CAAGCGUUGUCCGGAUUUAUUGGGCGUAAAGCGCUCGCAGGUGGUUCGAUGCGUCGUGCGUGAAAGACCCCGGCUCAACUGGGGAGGGUCGUGCGAUACGGUCGAACUGGAGGCCAGUAGGGGGAUGCGGAAUUCCGGGUGUAGUGGUGGAAUGCGUAGAGAUCCGGAGGAACACCAGCGGCGAAGGCGGCAUCCUGGACUGGUCCUGACACUCAGGAGCGAAAGCGUGGGGAGCGAUCCGG
RNAcentral lists this ribosomal RNA (242 nucleotides) under uncultured bacterium. RNAcentral describes it as "partial 16S ribosomal RNA". It matches the Rfam family "Bacterial small subunit ribosomal RNA", at positions 535 to 776 of the family's 1533-position model. The record is from RNAcentral.